This 469-nucleotide ribosomal RNA is filed under the name uncultured bacterium. Its description in RNAcentral is "partial 16S ribosomal RNA". It matches the Rfam family "Bacterial small subunit ribosomal RNA", at positions 28 to 507 of the family's 1533-position model. The record is from RNAcentral.
GACGAACGCUGGCGGCGUGCUUAACACAUGCAAGUCGAACGGAAAGGCCCUGCUUGCAGGGUGCUCGAGUGGCGAACGGGUGAGUAACACGUGGGUGAUCUGCCCCUUACUUUGGGAUAAGCCCGGGAAACUGGGUCUAAUACUGGAUAGGACCAUGCUGUAGGUGGUGUGGUGGAAAGAUUAGUUUCGGUAAGGGAUGAGCUCGCGGCCUAUCAGCUUGUUGGUGGGGUAAUGGCCUACCAAGGCGUCGACGGGUAGCCGGCCUGAGAGGGUGGACGGCCACAUUGGGACUGAGAUACGGCCCAGACUCCUACGGGAGGCAGCAGUGGGGAAUAUUGCACAAUGGGCGCAAGCCUGAUGCAGCGACGCCGCGUGGGGGAUGACGGCCUUCGGGUUGUAAACUCCUUUCAGCCAUGACGAAGCCCUUGUGGUGACGGUAGUGGGAGAAGAAGCACCGGCUAACUACGUG